GGAAUUCUAAAUUGGAACAAGUAUUCGAAUUAGAAGAAAAAGUGGAAGUGGUAGCUGAAGAGGAGAUGAAAUUUGAUAAAUUAAAAUGGUUAUCACUUGAAGAACUACCUGGCCUCAUUCACUUUUGUCCCAAAGGAUAUCAUUCUGUAUUCCCAGCAAUGAUAGAGUUGAAAGUAAGAGAUUGCCCUAAGUUGACUACUGAUUUCUUCAUUGAUUCACAGGAAUUUGUACAUUGCAAAACAAAGGUAUAUAUCCUACAACCCUUUAAUCCUACUUUAUUCUAUGUAAUUAUAACAAUUACAACUGAAGGCAUAACAUGCAAAAUUUUUAAUUAAAUUCCUUGAGUAUAAAUUUUUCCUUGAUGACAUGAGAUUAAAGUUUCAGUUAUAAAUUUUUCUUCAAUUGUUUUCCAAGGCACUUCAGUUGGUUGAGCAAGAUGCGGUUGAAGAGUAGUCUACCACUGUUCGAAAUGCAAUUUUCAAUGAGAAUAUAUAUUGGAGCCGAGGUGGGGGUGAGAGUCAACUACCACACAUUACAUGAAAGAAUGGAUGAUUUUAGGGUAGCUUUCAAAGCCAUGUUACAUCAGUAGGUGGAGCAAUGUUGCUCGGUUGUUUUUAGUUAAGUGUUUGAUAUAAUUUGUGUAUGAUAGAACAUGACCUUCAGAGGCGUUUUUCCCACAAACGCCGCUAAAGAACAUGAUCUUUAAAAAAAUUAUUUUAAUUAAAUAAUAUUUAUUUCUAUGAUAAAAUAUUUUAUUUUAUUUUAUUUUUGAAAUUUGAACUUUAAACUAUAUACUAAAUAAAAAAUAUUAAUUAUAUUAUAUUUUCUAUGAAAAUUUUAAAUUUAAAACUAAAUAUAAAAAUUAAUGAAUUUAAAUUUAGAAUUUAAAUAUUACGUUUUUAAUUCAAGUUCAACUUUUGGCACACCUUACAAACAUGGGCUCUAAACAGGGAGAAAAAUUGCAUCUCGGGCAACAAAAAUCAAAACAGUACAAAGGUAAUAUCUUCAAUAAUUUUAUCGAUAAUAUCGAUACGGUAUAAUUAACCCUGCUCACAAGUUACAAUCAUUGUUAUGCCCGACUCAUAAUAUUUAUGUAAUGACCUAAUAUUGCCCGGUCCAUUAUAAAAUAAUAAAACAGUCCAAUUUAUUUUUACAAACCCAAAUUUAAAGCCCAAACUCACUACCUAAUACAGACUCUAACCCAAAACACUAAACCUAAAAUGCAAAUUAAACCCGAGCCCAAUAAACUAAACCCAGUUAAACCUAGCCCAGUAAACAAACUAAGCCCAAACCCCAACCCGAUUGUAGAAACCCUAGCCUACAAGCCUUCAGCAUGCCGCUCCUUCCCCACGUGCGCCUCUCCCUCCAGGUUGGCUGCAUACCUGCAAAGGAAUAACAGAAUAAUAGCAAAAUAAUAAGAGAAAAUAGCAAAAUAAUUUUUGUAUUUUUAUUUGGCUAUAUAAAGCCAUUGCAAAUUUGUAAAACAGAUACUGGAUACAAAAAUAUAAAAACAAAUCAAAUAGCUUUGUUAUUUCAAGGUGAUUUUUCAGAUUCUGUCAAUUUUUUUUUUGCUCUUGGUUUUAUCAUCUUUUUAUUAAAAUAUAAAAAGAAAGGAAUGAGGAGAGAAGAUUUACCUCUACUAGUAUUCUGUUGGCCCUCGUCUGCUCUAUUAAAAUCAGAGUUGAAGGGGCUGUUGUUUCGGCUGGGAACGGCGGAGGGAGGAUAGCCUAGGGUUUUGUUUUUGUUUUAUUUUCCUUAGAAGUGAAACACAAAUUCUGAUUAGGUUUUGGUUUGGGAUUUUAUAAAGUAAUAAAAACGACGUCGUUUGGGGCCUGCUUCAGUGGCCCCAAAACGGCAUCGUAUAAGGCCAUACCCGACUGACCCGACCCAGAGGCGGCUAAGAUCCACGUGUUGUGGCCUUGCUAGGGUUAUUUGCGAAUUUUGUCGUUUAUUAUUACUUUGAUUUAACAUAUUUUAUGAUUCAUAUAUUCUCUUUUAAAAUUACUUAGAUUUACCUCUACUAUUAUAUACAUGCAAUUUUCAUUUUUUUUAUUUCAUGAACAUAUUAUUGAUUUCCUAUUAUUAUAAGGGUAAACUACCAAAAUAGUUACUUUUGUUUGCCCUAGGUUAAAUUUUAGUCACUUAUGUUUGAAAUAUUACGUUUUAGUCACUUACGUUAUCGUGUUGUAACAUUUUAGUCACUAAGUUGUUAAUCGCCAACAAUGGUGUAACGGUAAGCUGAUGUGGCAUGUUAAAUCAUCAUUUCAAACAAAAAUUUUAGGUUAAAUUCUACAAUUGGUCCCUAUAUUUUUUUCAUUUUAAACAAUUUUAAAAUUUUCUUUUAAGUUCUUUUAACUUUUUUUUCCAUUCUCUUCUGCUUCUCCCUCUAUUUUCCUCCCUUCUUCAUUUCUUUUAACAUAGUUUUUCUAUGUUUUCCAUUUGUAACUAGUCCACAAGCUUGCCUCACUCGAAAAAAUUAAAUUGUUCAAAAAAAUAAAACAUAGCGAAACUAUGUUGAAAGAAAUGGAGAAAGGCGGAAAACAAAGGGAGAAACAUAAGAGAAUGGAAAAGAAAGAAAGUUAAAAAAACAUAAAAGAAAAAAAUUAAAUUGCUCCAAACGAAAAAAGAUGGGACCGAUUGUAUAAAUUAACCUAGAAUUUUUGUUUAAAAUGAUGAUUUAAUGUGCCACAUUAGCUUAUUGUUACACAGUUAACAGAAAUUAACAGCUCAGUGACUAAAAUGUUACAACAUGAUAACAUAAGUGACUAAAACGUAACAUUUCAAACAUAAGUGACUAAAAUGUAACCUGAACCAAACAAAAGUGACUAUUUUAAUAGUUUACCCUUAUUAUAAUUAUCAUCUUUCGGCUUUUACAUUUAUAAUUUAUUUAUUUUAAACCUCCUUUACUUAUUUUGUAUAUUUCAACCAUAUUGUAUUAUUAUUAUGUACAUAUAUUAUUGUUUUUAUUAUUAUCAAACUCUUCAUUUAAUAUGUAUUAUUUAUUUAAAUUAAUAUGUGUAUUGUUUUAUAUAUUAUAAAUUUUAAUUUUCUACUUAUACCAUAUUUACUUUAGAAAUCAUUUGCGUAUUACAAUUUCAUGUAAAAUCUAUUUCGAAUUUCAAUUUACCUUCUUUCCUGUCAUUUGUUUCUUAAAUGGUGUUUAAACUUGUACACUUUAUUGGUGUUUAUGUAAAUUUGCUCAAUUUUAAAUUAGUUUCCUCCUAUUAGCUAAUGUUUGUGUUCGCAUGAGAUAAUCAUUGCUAAGCUUGUUGAAUUUAUUGAUUAUUUAUUCAUCAUUCCUUGGUCUAUGUUUUAUUUACAAAUUAUCCUUUCGUAUUAUGCGUUACCAUUCAAUCGCACUACAUUUGUUUUGAAGAUUACGCUUCAUUAAAACAUUAAAGUAGUUUUAUUCCGAAAUUUUCAAGAUACUCGGGGUCCAAGAUUCUCGAGAAGAUUGUGCCCUAACUUACUGGGCUUCGAUUUUUUUUGUUGAAUUUAAAUAGCCUAGUAUCCCUUUUCCAAUAAAAUCGUACCAAUUUCAAAAACCAAAAUUUAUCUUGGGAAUUCCAAAAGGGUUGUCCCUCAUGUUCAAAUCUGAUCCGGGAUCCCUAAAUUGGGUCCUUCAAAUGACAAUUAUACAAGAGUUAACAUUUGUAUAUUAACGAAAGAUUUUUCAAGAAUCGUGAAAGAUUGACUAAUUGAUUUGUAAGAUCAAUAUCGGAUAAAAAAAUAUGAAAUUUGAGGUCCUAAACUUUAGAUCGAGAGGCACUUACCGUACUUGAUGGAAUUACGGAAGCUAUCAACGAUAAAUUCAACAAAUGGUAGAGAAUCGAAUUAUCGGGGAUUGAUUUGAUAUCGAGAGCAAAAAUAGUAUCAGCAAUGGAGAGAAAAUUUGAUGCAAAGAAGUUGAUGGAAAAGAAAUAUGAGAAGAAAUAGGGAGAGAGGAGAAAUUCUAAUUGGAACGAAAAAAGAAACAUAAUCCUAGUGUAAUUAGGGAAAAAGGGACUAAAUAGCUAGAGUUUUCAAAUAUGAAGAGGCUGCAUGGGAGAGGAGUAAGUGUUUAACCAUUGGAUUGCUACCCAUUUCUUAAUAAAUUUCACUCUAAAUAAUAUUUAUUUUAGUGUGGCUUUUAUCCUGGGUUGCUAAAAAAUUAUAAUGGAAAAAUGAGAGAGGUGUGGUUUAAACCUUGGACCUCUAAGCAAUGUAUGUAUCCAUUUCACAUGUUAGAUUAAGAAAACGGUGGUAGUAGCUGCAACAGGAGCUGAAUAUGCAACAGAGAUCCAAGGCCGCAUACCCAAACGAAAACUAUGUUUCCACUCACGGCCCAUGUAAAAAGCUACACCAAGUAAGAAGUGUAAAACAAUUAACUCAUAAGGACGACGCUUCCCAAAUCAGGUAAAAGUGCAAACUUAUAGCUGUAGAAGUAGGAAUAAUGGCACUAAAAAUAAUAUUGUUUCCAUAAAGUAGAGAUCUAGAAACACUGGAGUAGCAGCAAUGAAGGCGAUAAUAAAUACAGAAGUAGAGGUCAAUAACGGAUCAUCAAAACACCAAACCAUCCGAUGUAAAGACGAUUUUUAGUGCUGGUUAUCCAAUUACAGAAGCAACCCCAUAGGCUUUCGCUUUCGCAUCUCUCUAAAAUUGCAGUCAUGGUAAAUCUUGGUUUAUUUAAUAAACAACUUAACCCACAAAUUACUACCUAAACAAUACUCUCUUUUUCCAAGUUGGUAUCUAAACUUUUUUUAAUCACAAGCGGUACAUAAACUAUUCUUUUGUUAUCCAUUUUACACCAAAUUGUUUUAUCCUUUAAAAAAAUUCCAACCAAUUAUAGAAUGCUACAUCAUAUAAACUUUAAAAAAUAAAUUUUAAUUCUUUUUUUUACAUGUUUUCUCUCUCUUUUAUUUAUUUUUUAUAUUUAUUUCUUAUUCCUUUAUAAUGUUUGGCAAUGCUAUCAACAUAAGACUUUAUCUUCCACUAAUUAAGAUAUUUUAAAUAAAAUAUUCUAAAACUUAAGACUUAAUGAAACUCUAUCUAUAAACUAAACAGUUAGCUUAACAACAUAGGUAUCAACUUGGGGAAAAAAUUAUUUAAGUGGCAUUUGUGAUAAAAAAAAUUAUUUAAGUAUCAAAAUUAGAAAAAUGACAGAGUUUAGGUACCAAUUUAAGGGUUAAAAUUGUUUUUAAAUAGAUUUAACGGUUUGUCUGACUAUUUGAUUAACAUAAUUAAUGUGAACUUAGAAAAAAAUAAUUUAAGUAUCAUUUAAGAUAAAAAAUUUAAUUACCAAAAUGAAAACAAAAUAAGUAAUAUUGGUAUCUUAGAUAGCAAAGGUAUUGAAGAUUUGAAGGGAUAAAUUAUAAGUAAACGCCAUAUUUCUUUUAAAUAAAAUAAUCACUUUUUCUUUCUUAUGUUUAAUGCUUAUCUUUCGAAUUUAAAAAUCCAUUUGAUAUCAUUGUGUCUUCUUUCAACUAUUAUUUCAUUCUAAAAGUAAAAAUAAAAUAAAUAAACAAAUAAAAGUGAAAUCAAUAACUCUAAAAGUUUUUAAAAGUAAGACUUGAUUAAAUUCUAUUUAUAAUUUAAAUAGUUAAAUUUUAUUAAUAAUUUUUGUAUUAUGUGUAAGUUGUAUAUUUAAUUUUUAUAUGUUAUUUUGAUUAAUUUUCGACUUUAAUUUUUUGAAAUUUAAAAUUUCAGUCAUGACCAAAUGGUAAUUGUUAAAUUCAUUAAGUUAUGUUAUGCUAUUUUUAAAAGUGAUAUUACGUGAUCGGAUCGUAGUGAGACAUACCCUAAUCCUGAGUGGAUGAAUGACUAUGUAUGCGUGACUUGUAUACUUUGAUAUAAGUAAAAGCUUGAGUCCAAAUAGAUAAGAAACUGAAAGUUGGUGUGCUGGGUAUCCGACUUGUACAUUAUAUAGCGUUAUUCAAAAUAGUGAAAUACAAAGCUCAAGAAAUGAGUAAAUAGUAUCCUUUAAAUGUGACUAAUGCAGGUAAAUUUAGAAGAAACACUUGCCAACUAGACUCCUCUAAAUCCCAUCAUCCAUUCUAAUCUAUGUUACUGGGACUCAAAAUAAAUCCGGCUAUCUAUCCGACAUGGGUACUUUUAAAAGUAAAUGAAAAGUUGGAUCAACAAAAAGUUCCAUCAACAAAUAAGAGAAAGCUUAAUGGAGAUAUAUAGAAGAAACACUUGCCACUGGCAUCAAACUCAAAGCUAUAGCUACAUGGAUUUCUAAGGAACUGUUCCAUAAUCUCAUAGAACCCUAAAACGAGAUUAGGUCAUUUUCGACUCAAAACUUGAAAUUUACAUGAUUUUCAACCCCUACCCAAAAUUCCAUUUCUUCCUUGUCAUAUGGUCCUUGUUAACAACAGUACAAAAUUACUGAAAUGAUUGUUAUUUCUUCAUACUUUUACAGUAACGUAAACCCUACUAUUUAUAAUACAUUUAUUAACAACCGUAACUACCAUCCUUAACUACUAACUAUCAUAACUACCUGCAUACCCUAAUAUGCCACCAACUUCCUCAACUUCUGCUAAGAAUACCUUCUAAGCAGAAUGUUUUUGAACUAACUUAAGACAAGACCUGAACUUAGUAAAUAGAGAAGCUGACAAAGGUUUAGUAAACACAUCAGCAACUUGUUCAUGUGCUAGAAUGUGCCCUACAACAAGUUUUCCAUCUGCGACUUUCUCUCGAACAAAGUAAAGGUCCAAUUCUACAUGUUUAAAUUUUGAAUGUAGAACUGGAUUUGUAGACACAGCAACAGCCCCUGAGCUAUCACACCAUACAGUGGGUUUCUUCAAGGGUGUAACAUGCAGUUCUGACAAAAGCGACUCCAACCAAACCACUUCUAUAACCGUGUGAGCCAGCCCUCGAUAUUCUGCCUCUGCUGUGGACCUGGAGACAGUUGGCUGCUUCUUUGUCCCCCAUGCAACCGGAUUACCACUAAGAAAAACACAAAAACCUGUAGUAGACCUCCGUUCAUCGACAUUAGAUCCCUAAUUCACGUCUGAGUAGCCAACCACAUCCAAUGCAUGAGUCUUUAUGAAUCGAAGACCAUAGUCAAUAGUACCCUAAAGAUACCGAAGAAUACGCUUGACUGCUUGAAAAUGUUGAUCAAGAGGGCGAUGCAUAAAUUGACACACUUUUUCCAUGGCAAACAUAAUAUCUGGCCUGGUUAUAACCACAUAUUGAAGUGCUCCUACAAUACUUCGAUAUUCAGCUUCAUUCUCAAUAGCACAACCACUAGACUGAGACAACUUCGAAGUAGAAACCAUUGGAGUGGGAGAACUGUUUGCUUGAUCCAUCUUGGCUUUCUUUAGUAAGUAAAAAAUAUACUUUGACUGACUUAAAUAUAAACCAUCAGUAGUAGUGGUCACCUCAACACCUAGGAAAUAACCAAGAGACCCUAAAUCUUUUAAAGCAAACUGAGCAUCUAACAUUGCCACAAAGCUGUCGAUACUUUGUUGAUGAUUGCCAGUGACUAUUAUAUCAUCGACAUACAUGAGCACGUACAAAAGCACUCCUUCCACCUUCUUUACAAAAAAGAAAGCAUUAGACUUAGUAGGGACAAGCUGUGAGUCAAGCAAAAACUCACGUAGCUUAGAAAACCAUGCUCUUGGAGCCUGCUUAAGGCCGUAAAGAGCUUUCUUUAACCUGCAUACUAACACUCCACCAUCACUACAGGUCUGCUCAAAACCAGGUGGUUGUGUCAUAUAAAUUUCUUUAGCCAAAUCCCCAUUGAGAAAGGCAUUGUUAAUAUCAACUUGUCGAAGUUGCCACCUAAAUGCAACAGCCAAUGUCAACACAACCUGAAUAGUAGUCGGCUUGACAACCGGACUGAAAGUAUCUUGAAAAUCAAUUCCUGCCUUUUGAAGGUAGCCCUUGACAACUAAACGACCUUUGUAACGAGCGAUGGUCCCAUCUGAUUUUCUUUUGAGUUUGAAAAUCCACUUGCAACCCACAGCCUUUCUGUCGGCAGGUAAAGUAACUAAAUCCCAUGUGUUAUUUUUUAACAAGGCAUCAUACUCUUGUUGAGCUGUGAGAGUCCAUUCUUUGCUAGUAAAGGCCUGUUCUAUUGUAGCAGGUUCUAUUUCUGUGAACUCUGCUGAAAAGACUCUGGGUCUAAAAAUCCCGCUCUUAGAUCGCAUCUGCAAAGGAUGAGAGUUUCCUACAGGAACCCGAGUAGGCUCACUAGGCAAACAUCGAGUAUGGUCAGAUGAAGAGCUGGAUGAUGCUGUGGAUUGACAUGGAACAUCUGAAGAAGAACUAUUUGAACCCUCUUGUAUGGGAGAACAACUCACACGUGGGCUGACUCGUAAACCAUCACAUCUUGGUAUACUGUGAGAAGUUCUCUGAGCAGAUAAAACCUCAGCUGAAGGUGAGUGUCUUACUGGUCCUGAUGAGGGUGAUAGAAUAGGAACCACAGAUUGCUGAUGUUAAAAUGUAUUUGAGUUAUGUACAGGCAACGAAACUCUUACAAAAUCAGAAUCAGUUUUAAAAGGAAAACAUCCUUCAUCAAAAACCACAUGUCUGGAUAUAAACACUUUCUGAUUUUUGUCGAGGCACUUGUAGCCUUUAUGAGCCAUACUGUAGCCAAGAAAUACACAUGGCUGACAAUGGAAUUACAGCUUAUGCGCAUGAAACGGCCUGAGAUAAGGAUAGCAUCGACAUCCAAAAACCUUUAGAUGCUGGUAACUAGGAACAGUUUGAUGCAGAACUUCAUGAGGUGACCUUCCCUUGAGAAUUGGUGUUGGGAGUCUAUUUAUAAGGUAUACUGCACUAACGAAUGCAUGAGACCAAAAAAAAUGGGCAUAUUCACCUGAGCAAGUAAAGUCAAGCCAGUGUCAACAACAUGACGAUGCUUCCUCUCCACCAACCCAUUCUAUUCUAAAGUAUGCGGACAAGAAAGCCUGUUUUGAAUCCCAAGAUGACACAACAUUUUCUGAAAUGGACGAUACUCUCCUCCCCAGUCAGUUUGGAGAGCUCGUAUCUUGCCACCAAAUUGCACCUCAACAAGUUUUUGAAACUGAAGAAACUUAGCCAAAGCUUCAGACUUAUUCCUGAUCAAAUACAACUAGGUAUACCGAGAGUGAGCAUUAACAAAUGAGAUGUAAUAGAGACUGCCGUCAGACAUUACAGGGGUAAGUCCCCAGAGAUCUGAAACAACAAGUUGAAAAGAAGCUGAAUACACAGUGUUUGAGGGAGAAAAAAGAAAUUUAUGUAGCUUUCCAAGUUGACAAGCAGAGCAAACGGAUCUCAGUUUACAUUUCUUUGAAUCAAUAUUACAAUUUUGAAGAACUUUAGUAACUGUCCUAUGACAAGGAUGUCCAAGGCGCCUAUGCCAUAGCUCAAACACUUCAUCACCAGAAGAAGAGACUCCCGACUGUGCUGUAUAUGCUACAGUUGUGUUACCAAAAGUAUCAAUAUUCUUCGAUGUGCCAGGAUGCUGAGUGUCUGAAAGGUUAAAUUGAUAUAACCUAUUAUGUAUGUGCCCCACCAGUAAUAUGGCCCCUGUCUUGAUGUCCUUCACAAAACAAUGAAGAGGAUAAAAUUCAAAAUACACAGAGUUGUCAGUAGCAAAUUGAGCAACAGACAUUAGAUUCUUGCAUAUUUGAGGGAUAUGAAGUACAUUCUUCAAUUGGAACACUCUGUUGGACCGAAUAAAAGAGGAGGAACCAAUAUUAGCUACUGGUACAGACAGAUCAUUUCCCAUAAACAACUUUUGUUUACCUGUAAAUGGAGCUACUUCACAUAGACCAUCCAGAUCAUUAGUUAUAUGAUUUGUGGCCCCUGAAUCGGGAAACUAGACAUUGUCAUUGGAAACCAACUUCCCAGUCGUGGAAACCAUAUUAGCUUGCAGGCCACUAGGAGUUACUGUAGAACCUUUAUGAUUACAACAAUGACAAUUCAUACUGGGCAGAUCAGAAGACUCUUGGAGCUGAUGACAAUGCGCUUGCAUGGACUGCUGAGACACGCCCUCAAAGGACUCAUCAAACCGAUAGUAGCACUUGUGCAUAGUGUGUCCAAUCCGGCCAUAAAGCUGACACUGAGGCGUAGUAUGUGUGAAUCUCCUUCCUCGACCUCUGCCUCAAAACUCUCUAGAACCACCCCCUCUAGAAGAUGAUCAAGAAUUGUUCUCAAAUUGCUUAACACGACUACCACCAGAUUCAGUAUGUUGAGCGACAUUAGCCUGCAAAGACAUAUUGGAAAUAAGAUCUUGCUUUCGAGCCUCACAAUCAGUCAACAUUUCAGUGAGAUGAUCAAUGCAAAAAUUCAUUACUGAUGCAACUAUACGUAUGGAUUCAUAUUCCACUAGCAAACCAACAAGAAUGACAAUAACCUGUUCUUGCUCAGAUAUACCAUUACCAAUAGCAAGAAGAGAAUCACAUUGACCUUGAACCUUCGUAAGAUAUUCUUGAAUGGUUAACUGUCCCUUUUUCUGAGAGUAUAAAGAAUGCCGUAACGUCGAAACUGUCAAAGAAGAUUUAGAAACAAACCUUUUGAGGACAACACUCCAUACAUCAAAACUUGUGCCCACACCAGUGAGACAAACCAGAAUAUUGUCAGAAAUAGUAGACAAGAGCCAAGACGCCAAUAACUUGUCUUGUUGCUUAUGAAAAACAAACUCAGGAUUAGCAACAGGAACACCAUUACUAUCAAGAACAGUUUGUGGAGGAACCUGAAUCGUUCCAAGAACAAACUCAUGCAAGCCAUAACCUUCAAGAACGAGCAAGAUUUGCUGCUUCCAUAAAAGAAAAUUAUGAGCAUUGAGUUUCACCGUAUCAUGUUUAGGAAACUGAUGAAAUUUGCGCGAAGAAGCAUAACCAGGAUCAGGAGACGAAGCAGCUACAGGUAUUGCCGUGUGAACAGAUGGAUGACCACCAUCGUUACCGGAAACAUCAUCUGUAUCCAUCGUCAAAGAAAAGGAAAAAAAAUAUUAUGGCUGUGAUACCAUGUUAACAACAGUACAAAAUUACUGAAAUGAUUGUUAUUUCUUCAUACUUUUACAGUAACGUAAACCCUACUAUUUAUAAUACAUUUAUUAACAACCGUAACUACCAUCCUUAACUACUAACUAUCAUAACUACCUGCAUACCUUAAUAGUCCUAUGGUUUAAAAGGGACGAAAAGGGUACUGUACUUUCACAUCUACACUAUAAUUAAAUGUUUUUUAUUUAUGGUUUUCAGUAUAAUCCAAUUCAUCCAAAUAGAGAAAACCUCUUGGGCUCUCGGAACCCGAUGCGUUCGAGUGUCAGGUCAGUUUCAGAGUAGGAGUGCCUGAAGUCAAAUGGGAGACUUGACUUUAUAGGAGUCGAGUUCCGGUUGGGGGUUGGGUUAGGCGGCUUUGGUUUGGGUUUUGGAGGUGUAAGGGGUUUGGAAAUAGGGGAAAAUGGAGGGUCGUAAGUGGUUUUGGAAAUAGAGUGGGAGAAGAAGUAAGAGAAGUGUUUUGGGGGGUUCGAGAGUGGACGUGAAAGGAGCGAGAGUGGACGUGAAAGGAGCUUUUGCAUGGUUCUGGAAGAAGAAAAAUUGGUGGCUAAUGCUAGUCCUGGAAAUGGAAAACUGAACUUCAAAGAGGAAGAGGGUGACUUUUAGAAGUUCAAAGAAAAAUUGGUGGCUAAUCCUCCAAGUGCAGCAUUUUAUGGUGUAGAAGAAAUACCCAUCUUGAACUUGAAAAACCACUUCAUGAUUCCCAACAACUAUACAAUCUUGAUUCAACAUAGGGACAUCAAUGCUACAUAAUUGGCAACUAUAUCCCACAUUUUCAAGAUAUAGUUUCUGCAAACGUAGAUGCCAGUAAAUGUCGCAUUUGAGGAAGCCAAUACAAAAUAAUUCCCCAGCAAUUAUGCAAAUCAGACAACAUAUGAAGAGGGAAUUCAACAUCAGAACUCGUCAAGUUCGCCUGUGCCAUAUUAUUAUAGCUCAAGAAGCAAUAGGAGAAACUGAAAUGUAGUUCCACAUGUCAUUUUAUUUUUUUAAAAUGUCACAUAUAAUUACCUAUUGAAACAUAUAAGCAAGAAUUUCCACACAUUUAAUUUUAACAGUUGAAUUAAUAUUUUCAAUAACAAAAUAUAAUAAUUUGACUCAAAAUCAAAUGUUGGAGUCGACCUUAUUCAAAAAAGGGAUUUAAGGGUAAAUGAUCAAAUGAAUAAAGGGUAAAGGAUAAGAUUGGUGACCCAACUAUUAAGUUUACUUUUUUAUAUUUUUAUAUUUACUUUUUAAAUUUUUAUAAUAUAUAUUUACUUUUUCUGAUAAAUCAAGUUCAUUUUCUCAUCAACAAAAUAUGUGAAAAACUUAGAAAUUAAAGCUAUUUUCUAAUUCAAUCUCUUUUGAUUUAAUCCUUUUUCUUUUGGUACGUUGUUCAUUUCAAAUGUCCAAUUAAAAGUCUCAAAGAAGCUCAAAAUUAACAAAUUUAUAAAUCAAGAAAAAUGGUUUGGUUGAUGACAUCAAUUCUAACAGUCUCACUCUUUGCUACAAAUAUAGUACCACUUUUAGGUGUUUUCGUGCCUGUAUCAUUUCUAGCUUAAGUAUUGGAGAGAGAUUGCAAGUUAAGACCAUGGCAUUUGAUAUUUGAAUGAAAAAAAGAACAAAGUAGAAGAUACUGUUGAAAAUCAUUUUGGGUACAAAAUUUUUAAAAUAUGUUUAUAUUUACUUUUUAAAAUUUUUAUUUACUUUUUUAAGAUUUUUUCUUUUUUUUUUAUAAUUAAGACUAAAAUGACAAAUCUUGUCAAUAUUGAGUACUAAAUUGAUAGGAUGUAUAUAUAAACAUUAGAAAGCUAUAUUUGUUAUUAAGCUAAUAAAACAAAGCUCGCGUUAGACUUCUAUUAAACAAUUAAUGGAAGAAUGACUAAAAUAUUUAAUUUCGAAAAAUUGAGUCAUCACAAACAAAAAAUUAAUAAUUAAGUGAUCAAAAUAAAAUAAACUAAAUAAUUAGAGGAUUAUUCUUCAACUUUAUCAAUUAAAAGUUAACAUUAUGCCAAAGAAAUUAUUGCAUGAAUUAAGACAUAUAUAUCAAUAAUACUAUUUGCAACAGCGCCAAAAUUCAUAAUAAAAAUGCAACAAAGUUAAAUAAUACCUCUAUCAGUUGAGAUUGGACAAUAAUAAAAGCAUCUCAAUUGGGGACAAUUUCUGGUUUUCAACUUUGGCCAGCACAAAGCAUAGUGGCUCUGCAUAUUUAAAACAUAUAUCUUAAUAUUGUAUAUAAUUGAGGAAUAUCAUGUAAAAAUAUACUUCUUAAUUAUAAAGUAAUAAUUUCAAUUUCAAAUUUUAUUAUUAUUACAAUACUGGAGACAGGAAGGAGAUAAUAAAGUUUCAUUUCGUGUUAUCUGAGUGUCAUCUGAGUGUCAGACAAGUUUUAAUAACUUUAAAAUAUAAAUCCUGUCAAUUGUUAAAGAAAUAAAUAUAAUGACAAAAUAAGAGAAUUUGUGGGGGCUAGAGGUCGAGAGUUUUUCAACCCUUAAAUAGAACUAUACUUCUACUAUUUGACUUUGAUUAAAAUAAAGUUUUUCAACCCUUAAAUAGAUAUAGUCGAAACUCUUCUUGUAUCACUUAUUUUUCAACAUGAAUGAUUCUUUUUCUCUGCCCAUAAUUUUUUCCCGAAAGAAUUUUCAUGUAAAAUUAUAUGUUUUUAUUUACUUUUCUUAUUGCUCUAUGACGUUAUUAUCAACAUUUAUUAUAAUAUACCUCCAUCAGUGAGCUUGGACAAUGAAGCAUAGGGGCAAUUUCUUAGGAAACAAAUUUUAACUUUGGCCACCAGAUUGCAUAGUGGUUCUGCAUGUUUAAAACAUAUAUGUUAAUAUUAUAUAUAAUUGAGGAAUAUGAUGUAAAAAUAUAUUUUUAUUUAUAAAGUAAUAAUUUCAAUUAUAUUUUAUUAUUAUUAUAAUAUCGAGAGAAAGGUAAUGAGAAGAUAUGAUUUGAAUUCGUGUUAUCAUAGAAACUUUAAUCACUGUUUAAAAUAAAUCUUGGCAACAAUUUCAAUUAUAAUCAAUAAAUUAAAUAAUUAAUUCAAAUCAAACUAACUAAUUAAGAGAACCGACACAUAAACUACACGCAAUGAAAUUCGAACUUAAACACUGUAACACAAAAUAUUCUUAAUUUAAAGGCGUAAAAAUCAAUUAAAAAGAAAUAAAUUUAAUAACUUUUUAAACUCUAAUACUCAAAACUUGAGAACUAUUAAAUAUGAACAAUUUACGAAAAGUAACAAUAAAUAUCAAUAUUGAAUAUUUAUACUCAUUCAACUCGAAACCAAUAAAUCAUGAUUAAACAAAUUAUUUAAAAACCCAAAAUUUAUACAUGCGGUAUUCAUUGAAAUAAAUGAUAGUAAAAAUAAUUCUUUAUAUUAUUUAUCAUCAUCCAUCAUAUGACUUGGUUAGAGAAAUCUUAAUUGGCACAUAAAGAGAUAUAUAUAUUCUACAAAGGAUGCUUCUAGGAGAUAUAAAUGUCAAUAUUUGUUGGAAUAAAUGAAAGUAAAAAUAUAUAUUGUAUAAAUCUUAUAUAUUUCUAGUUUUAAUAUUCUUAAGAGUACAAAAAUGAAUGAUAAAGAAAUCACAAACCAAUAAUUGUUUUAAUUCAAAGUAUGAAUACUCAAUCAAGUUCUUCUAACAAAAAGAUUAUUGAAGAAUUUUUAAGAAAUAAAGUGAUCACUUUGAUAAAUUAAUCAACAAAGAGUUUUUAAGAAACCAUAUAUAAUAAAAGAACAAAAGCAUUUACAAUUAUUUUGAGUUUACUGGUAUUUUUUUUAAAGUAACCAUUGAAAUUAUGAGGAUUACAAUAAAAAAAAAUCCUUUUUUUAUGGUAGCAGAGCUGGUUUAGCUGUUCAUCAGCUUGCACUACUGAGCCAUCUUCCAAGUUGUAGACUUGAAAGCCUGUAUAUAAAGUUUUGACUCUGUAUAUAAAGGUGUUCUUCGUAAAGUUUUAAUCUUCACAAUCACGGGGAUAAACCAAGUUUAGUGUUAGCAGAAAUAACAAUAUAAAAUAUUAUAAAGAUUGUUUGUUUGCUUGAACAAAUUGGUCAAAACAUGGAGAAAAUAAGUAGGAAGCAAGAAAAAGAAAUAUAGUUGUAGAAGCCCAAAUUUGCUGGGCCCAUUGUCCAAAUAAAAUAAAAUACAACAAACCCAAAAUUCAAUCCUAACUACCCAAACCUUAAGCCCAAAAUAAUCAGCCCACAAACUUAAAAUUUCAGCAGCAAACCCUAGCUGGCCGCCGCAUGCCUUACGUGGCCUCCUCCUCUGCCAUGCCUGGCUACCGCCGCUCCUAGCCGCCUUUCCUCCGCAUGCUCUGACACCUGCAAAAUUUGAAUGCAAAAGGCACGCAACAACAGAAGAAACAAAUAGCAAAAAGGCAAAGAAAUAGAAAUUAAAAGUUGUGUAGAUCGGCUAUAAAAGCCGAAAAUCUCUUCCUUGUAAUCUUCUUCUUCUUUUUUACGAACAUCUAAAUAAAAAAAACAAGAAAAACAGAGAAAAUUUCAAAAGGAAAAACCUUUUUUCGGUUCUUGUACUUAUUUUAUUUUUAUUUCUUUUAUUUUUGUUUUUUAUACUAAAUAUUGAAAUAAAAAGAGAGGGGAGAAGAAGGGUACCUCGUCGCCUUGCAAGCCCGGCGUCGGUGCUCUCUUCGCCGUCGUCGGAGCCGAAAGUUGGGGACUAAAGACCUUUUUCGGUCCCGCGGGUUGAGAGAGGCCAACCUUCGAGCACGCUGCGACGGGAAGGUUAAAAAAACCAUUUUUUCGCCGUCGGCCGUUGGCCACGGCGGCGGCGGCGCGACGGUGGCUUAGAGAAGCCCUAGGCCGAAUGUAGGGGAGGGUGUUGAGAAAAAAUUGAGGCUCCUUCAGUUUUUUAGAAAAUCUGAAAAAGUAAAAUGAAAAAAAAUACUUUGGUUUAUAUUAGCAGUUAAACGGCGCCGUUUGAAGGAGGGGAGACCUGCGCAUGCUUGCCCUGAUGGGUAAUUUCCGCCUUUGGUCCCUCCAAUCCUGCGGCAUAUUCAAUGUUCCCUUUUGUGCAUUUUAAUUUUGGCCACAUAAUUUUUCGCUUGUUCCAAUCCAGUCCUGCGGAAAAUGAUGCGCAUAAAGACGGGGGAAUAUUGCGCAGUCAGUCCCUUGUAUCCUCAGCGCUUUUCAUUUCAAUCCCUUGCUCCAUUUCUUUUAAACUUUUAAUUAUGCCCCUUUAUUUUAUUAUGAUUUCAAUCGCGCCCUUAACCUUUUAACACCAUUUUUGUAUUUUUUUUAAACUGUUUCUUUUAUUAUUUAAGAUUUUCUUUUAUAUAUUAUUUUAUUUUAAACUAUUUUAGAUUGACUAGUAUUUAUCUCAAGUUUUUUAUAUAUUUUAUUUAUUUCAAAUAUAUGUGUGUGCACUAUCCAUUUCAAAUUUAUAUGUAUUAUGUAAUUUAAAUUGUUUCUCUUGCCAUUUAUUUUAAAAUUCUUUAUACUGAUCGUUUCCAAACUUCUUUAUUUUUACUUAUUUCAUGUUUUUAUAGAUUUAAUACUUUAUACAUUAUUUUGUCUCAUUUUAAAAUAUAUUAUAUAUGCUAGUUAUUUUAAAUCAGUUUGUAUCUUUUUCAACUAUUAUCUGGUUUUUUUGUUUUAUUUAUUAUCUAUUUUAAGAUUUGUCUUAUUUUGAGCUUUUAUGUGUAUAGAUAUUAUUUAUUUUAAAAUUUUUCAUACAUAAUAUUUUUCUUAAAUUUAUUUUGUAUAUAAUUGAUUUUUAAAUUUCUUUUCCGUACUAUUUAUUCAAAGCUCACUUAUAUCUUUUUAAAAUUACUCUACAUUUUAUUUGUUCUAAUUUGUUUUAUGCUACUCAUUUUGAAAUUGUUAUAUGUUACUUAAUUCAUUCGUCUUUAAUUAUUAAUACUAGUAUUCAAAUAAUGUAUGUUGAGUAUGUAUUGUCAUUGUGUGUACCAUAAUUAGUUUACUCGUAUUUUCAUAUUAUUGUCAUACAUUUGUGUAAUUAUCCAUAGAUCAUUAUUCCAUGUUUAUUAUUAUAUUGUUAUUUCACGUCAUCAUUUUGUAAAUUAAGCCCCAACAUAGUUGCCCAAUGUGGAUUGCUUUAUUUUAUUCCAAACAAAAUAAAUGUUUACCUUCAAAUAGAUUACCCGCUAUUAUUCGAAAUGGAAUUUUGCUAAUAAGCAAUAUUUUGCAUUUUGGAAAUUUGAGAAAUUGUACCCUAACUUACUGGGUCUCGAUUUUCUCAUUAAACCCAAAUAACAAAAUAUCCUUUUAAAUUUCAAACAUAUAAAAUUUCGAAAAUAAAGGCAAUAUUCCGUAUUUAGAAAAUUCGAGAAAUCGUGCCCUAACUUACUGGGCUUCGAUUUUUCUCGUGAUUCUAAAUAACCGAAUAUCUUUUUAAAAUUGAAAUAAAUGAGGUUUAAACAAAAAUAUAUAUGCAAGCUUACUCUCGAAAAUACGAGGUGUCGUGUCCUAACUUACUGAAUGUGACAUCUUGUUACUUCGAGAUAAGAAGGCAUUUUUCCAUUUUGAUUUAUCCAAGUAAAUUUUUUUAUAAUGCAAUAUAAAGAAGUAUCAUAUUUUUAAAUUCUUUUCGAGUUUUUAAUUUUCGACAGCAAGACAUUAAGUAAUCAACUAGGCACCAAUUUUGGGCGUAUCGAGGGUGCUAACCCUUCCUCGUGCGUAACCGACUCCCGAACCCAUUUUUUCUGAAUUUCGCAGACCAAAAUCGUUGUUUUAAUAAAAAUUAAAUCGUUUAUUAAAAACAACCACUUUUCAAGGUGACCCGAUCACACCUCAUCAAAAAAAGGAUUGGUGGCGACUCCCAUUUUCGUUUUCUUUUUCAAAAUCUAAGUCGACCCCGUUUCCAGCAAAAAAAUGGUGUCAACAAUAGUGAUAUUUGUUUUCUUUUAUGAAAAUGGGAUUUGCAUGCUCUGAAGAAGUUGCUAGUGAAAACAAAGAAUAAAAAUUGGAGGCAGUUUUUCAUAUAUUUGGAGGGUUUUUCUCUACAAUUAUUUCUAUAUUUAAUUUGUGAUGAAUUAAUUGUAAAACAUGGCAUGAGAGCGAGUUAAUGAAUGCAAUAGGGUUUGGCGAGAGAUGGAGGUUAUGGAUCUCGACGGUAAGAAUUGCGUUGCUUAUUAAUGGCUCUCCAAUUAGGAAAUUUUCUGAGCAAGGAGAUUGCGUCAAGGUGAUUAUUUAUUUAUUUUUUAUGUUUGUUAGCGGCGGAGGCACUUCGUUUGGCUAUCUUAAAAGUUAAAGAUUCUGGUUUGAUUUAUGGUUUAUCAGGUUUAGUGGAUGGUUUCUGUACCUCUUACCUACAAUUUGCGGAUGACACGAUUGUUUUCCUUAAAGGUGAUGUGGUAAAUAUAAAAAAAAAAUUAUAUGUAUGCUGAGGUGCUUUGAGAUUUUUUCUGGUUUGAACAUUAAUUAAAGGAAAUUGAAGCUGUUUGCUAUUGGUAUUGAUGAAGCAAUCACAAGUGAGGUGGAGGAUUUAUAGGGUUGUGGCAUUAACACUUUUCCAUUAAUGUAUUUGGGUAUUCCAUUAGGUGUUAAUCCUCAUAAAGUGAGGGUUUGGGAACCGAUCGUUGCCAAAUGUCGUAAGAAAUUGACCCUGUGGAAGCAUAGUUUUUUAUCUUGUGUGGCACGGGUUGUUUUGGUUAAAUUUGUUCUUUCUUCAUUGCCGUUGCAUUAUAUUCCAUUUUCAAAAUUCAUAAAGGUGUUCUCGAUUAGAUUGAUGGGAUUCGUCGAUAUUUUCUUUGAGCUGGUAUUCUUCCAGUAAUAUAAUGGCCCGAGUGAAUUGGAGGACGGGGUGCAUGACUAAGAAAAAUGGGGGUCUUAGAGUGGUGGAUUUGGCUGCUCAGAAUAAGUCUCUUCUUGCAAAAUGGUUAUGGAAAUUCGCGACUGAACUGAAUUCCUUAUGACGCUAAUUGAUUUCAGCUAAAUAUGGAGUUGAUUCUCUUCCUUAGCGGUUGAGUAUGAGGACCAAUUGGUCUAUGUUAGCAACCUAGAAAUCAGUCUUGAAGAAUGAAAGGAGUCGAUUUUAUCUUUUGUUGGGCCUGAGGGUUUUUUGUGGGUGCUAGUGUCACGGGCCAAAGUGCAAAGCCCGUGACCAUGGCACAAGAUGCACCCCAUGGAGGUCUUUCGAUUAGAUGGGGAACAUUUAGCCCACGAGAACUGGCCCGAUUCAAAGAACUGUUGGAGAAGCUUGUCAGAUUGAAACCUGGUUAGCCCGAUAAUGAAGAUAUGGCAACUUAGGCUAUUUUUAGUAAGUAAGGGAAUCAUAUCUUGUAGAUUUGAUUUGAUAUGAUGUAAUCUUGUAAAUCCCUAAAAUUAAGGGAUAGGCUAAUCUCGUCCGUCAAUGUAAUUUGAUCUUGACCGUCGAUUUUGAGGGAGCUCAACUAUAAAUAGAGAGCCUCCCCUUAUUUGUAUCUCGUCCAUUGUAUGUUAAAUUCUUAAGAGUAAUAGAAUUCUUUGAGCAUUUACUCAAACACUUUGUGUGCAUUCUUUCUUUGGCUUUCUAUUGUUCAUCUAUAGCUUCUUUUGGUACAAUCGUUUCCUCUAUAUAAAUUGGUGCCUUAGAGGAAUUCUAAAGGAAUCCUCACUUUUGGGAGUAAAGACUGACUUAGGCGAGUUUGGAGUGAACGGAUCGCCUAAGGCCGCACGGAUCGCGAGAUGAAAGAUCUAGCCCCGUGACACUAGAAGAGGGUUGUAAUAUCUUUUUCUUUUUUCUUUUUUUUUUGCUUGAUAUGUAGUCUGGGGAAAGGCCAUUAAGGGUGUGCUUUCCAAGACUUUUUCGACUGGCAAAUGAUAAAAAUGCGAAGGUCAUGGACUAUUCUAUCAAUUCUUUUUGGUCACAUAAUAAUUGGGAACAUUACUUUUCAAUGGGGUUGUUUAGAAAAUGAGGUUAAGGUUCCUUCAAAGAAGGAUUUACUUAUAUGGAAAUUCUACUUUGUCUUCAGAUUUUUAGUUAAUAAACAGUAUAAUUUGUUGUCAAAUGUUCCACAGGUUGAAGAUGAUGGAUUGGUAAAUGCAUUUGGAGAUAAAAAAACACCUCCCAAUUUGCAGUGUUUUUUUUGGAUGUUAAUAUUAAAGAGACUUCCAACAAAAAGAUUUCCUGUGCAAAAGGGGAUGGAGUUUGAACCUAAUUCGUUGCCUUGCCCAUGGUUCAAUAUUUGGUUUAUUCUUGCUCUUUUUUUCACGUUCUUUUUUUAUGCAGUUUAGUGCUUGGCAGGGCUUUACAAGUUUUCUGUUAUGGAACAAGAAGAAAAGUCAACACUGGUUUUCUACUUUUAAAAUUUUAUUCAUUUCUGUUUAUACAAUUUUCAAUUUGUAAUCAUGCUUUUCAAUGUAUUUAAACAGGGCGUUUUGACUGGGUGGGGAAGGUUAUGGUGCAAAACAGUUAAUGAAACGAGUCGUACUAGCUGGAUGGCACAACUGUCAUGAGUCCGUUCAUUUUUCUAUUUGGCCACCAGACAAAUAGUUGAAACGGUUAUGAAAUUACAUGACAAGUUUUCUCAAAAUCUUCUCUUUCUUCUCUUGUGCUCUUUCUCCUAUUUUUCUCCGACAAACUCUUCUCCAUUUUUGUUUCAUACCAAAGGUAUCAGAGCCCAGACAAUCCUUAUAGCUGGUGGCAGUGUAACUACUAGGUUGCAGAAGGAACUAUCACAGUUACAAAUGGACUUGACACAAAUAGAUGCUCGACUUGAUACACGACUAAAGGAUUUUCCUGAAAAAAAUACACUAAAAAUGAAGGGCCUCUUUGAGCAGUAUAUGGGACCAACAUCAGUAACAACACGGGUCACUCUUUAGAUAAGAGAAAGUGGGUUUUUAGGAGGCUUACAUUUAGGGUUUGCACCUAAAGAGUCACUGAUGCUCUCACCGAUUUAGGACAGUGGGCACUUAGGCCUUCUCUCUAACACUAGCGCGAUGGAAUCUGUUGGGAAGGCAGUCAAGUAUGACUGCCCGAGGUUUGGCGAUGAGGAUCUUUUAGCGUGGUGGUUUAAGCUAAAACAAUUGUUCGAGGCUGAGGUUUAUAGGAGCAAACAAAAGUCAAAAUUGUUAUGCUUCACAUGGAUAGGAAGGCUCUGGAUUGGCAUAAUUUUUUUUGCCAAAGACAUGGGGGUCUUCACCAAAUCACUUGGGACACUUAUGCUAGGGGCCUCAAUGACAGGUUUGGUUCUUCUACCGCUCGUGACCCUAUGACUGAGCUCGUUACCCUCAAACAACAAGGAACCGUGGACGAAUAUCAUGACCAUUUUGUGAGUGUACUAAACCAACUACAUUUACCUAAGAGUUACACUUUAAGCAUAUUUGUUUACAACCUUAAAGCGGAGAUAGGGCAGUAUCUUAUGUUGUUCAAGCCACAAACCUUAGUGGAGGGGGUACUCUUUAGCUAAACAAAUGAAAGAGAUAAUGUUUCCUACACCUAGCAAAGGGGUGACAUUUGGGGGUAGUGAAGGUCACUCUAAACCCCUAUUUUCCAUUCCUUAAAUAACAACCUCAAUAACUGCACCCUCUUUAAAUACUAGUUCUAACUUAAUCUCUAGUAGUAAGAAGCCACCUGUUAAGUUCUUGUCUUAAUCUGCAAUUGAGGAACGCCGUAGGAAGGUUUUAUGCUUCUGGUGUGCCACUAAGUAUACACCAGGACAUAAGUGUGCUAAAUCAAAAUUUUACUAGCUCAUAGUGGAACAUCAAAUCGAGCUCUUAAGGGAAUCCAAAGGGCCAAUGGUGGAAAAUUUUCAAGAUUGCCCUAAACAGUUGGAGAAUGUGGACCAAGAACCUGAAAACAUAACCCCAAUUACUAUCCUUACAUGCUUUAAAAGGCUAUCAAGGGCAUAACACGAUAAGGAUAGCAGCUAUGCUGGGACAAGUGGAGGUGAUUAUAUAGGUAGACUCGGGUAGUACGCAUAACUUUGUUGAUACAAAGCUAGUUAAAAGGCAGAGUUUGCUUGGGGAACAAUCUUGUCAGUUGAAGGUCAUGAUAGUUAAUGGUGGGAGCUUAAUCACUAAGGGAUUAUGUAGGGCAGUGAAAUGGAAAACACAAGGGCAGAAGUUUACUAUCGACUUCAUGAUUUUACCAGUCAAAUGGUGUGUUAUAGUUUUGGGGAUUUAAUGGCUGUUGAUGUUGGGAUCCAUAGUAUGGAAUUUUGGGUCCCUUACCAUUCAUUUUGAAUAUGAAGGUAGGGAAUGUAGUCUUCAAUGCAUUGUUUCAGGAGGGUUGCAACUUCUUUCAGGUCAUCAACUUUCUAAGUGCCUACAGAUGAAUGCAACCAGCCCCUAGUCUAUGCUAUGCACUUCUGAUCAACCAACUACUUUAAAUCUGUUACCCACGCCAAUCUGGGAGGACUUGCAGCAGCUCCUGUAUGAAUUUCAAGAUGUCUUCCAAUUUCCAAGGGGAUUACCACUGAACAAACUACAGGACCAUAAAAUUCCUGUACAAGAUGAGACUAAGGUGGUGAAUAUUAGGCCCUAUAGAUAUCCUUCCCCUCAAAAGACACAAAUAAAAAAGCUUAUACAAGAAAUGCUUCAGGUAUGUGUCAUUAGGGAUAGUAGCAGCCCCUUUGCAUCUCCUAUUGUGAUGGUGAAAAAGAAAGACAGGAGUUGGAGACUGUGCAUGGACUACAAGUAGCUCAACCAACUGACCAUCAAGGAUUGUUUUCCUAUACCUGUUAUAGAGGAAUUGCUUAAUGAGCUUGGACAAGCCAUAGUUUUCUCUAAAUUAGACCUAUGAUCACGGUAUCACCAUUUAUGAAUGCAUGAAUCUGACAUUUUUAAUACAACUUUUCCCAUGCAUGAAGGGCAUUACGAAUUUUUGGUUAUGUCAUGUGGCUUAACCAAUGCCCCCUUAAGUUUUCAGUCACUGAUGAACUCGAUUUUCAAGAGGCUAUUGAGGAAGUCAUACUAGUGUUCUUUGAAAAUAUACUAGUGUAUUCUCAUAGUAGGUCUAAUCAUUUAAUCCAUUUAAAGGAGGUGUUGCAGCUCCUAAGAGCUGAUCAACUAUUUGCCAAGCAAAGUAAGUGCACAUUUGGCACCCACCAAAUCGAGUACCUUGGGCAUAUGAUUUCUGAAGGGCCAGUCACUAUGGACGUAGCUAAGGUUGAAGGGGCCCUUGAUUGGCCUACUCCUAAGUUGAUAAAAGAGCUGAGAGGAUUUCUUGGUCUGUUAGGAUACUAUCGUCAGUUUAUUAAACAUUAUGGGAUUUUGGCUCGUCCACUAACCGAGUUGCUUAAGAAAGAUAUCUUUUGGAAUUGGACUGAAAUAGCUACCGAGGCAUUUGAGAGGCUCAAACAAGUAGUUUGUAUAGCACUAGUUCUCUCACUUCUAAAAUUUAAAGAAGAAUUUAGUGUUGAUACGAACGCUUGUGGACCAGGUGUAACGGCAAUUUUGCAAUAGAAAGGAAGGUCAGUAGCGUUUUUAGCAAAGGGCUGGGAGUAAAACACCAAGCGCUUUCCAUCUACGAUAAAGAGAUGCUAGAUGUUCUGUUGGCAGUAAAGAAGUGGCACGCAUACUUGGUGGUUAGGAGGUUCCUGAUCAGAAUGGACUAUCACAGUUUAAAGUUCUUGGCUGACAAAUAAACAAUUACACCAUUCCAACAAAAAUAGGUGGUGAAAAUGCUAAGGUAUGAUUAUUAAAUAUCCUAUAAAAAGGGCAGCAAAAACAAGGUGGCAGAUGCCUUGUCUCGAAGGGUUCAUGAAGGGUAAUUUUUGCAAUGCAUAGGCAACAUUUCCUGGUUAAAUGUGUGGGCUCGAGUUAAGGAAUCGUGUCUCAUUGAUCCAUCAUUGCAACAAAUAUGCCAGGAAACUUCAAUAGAAUUCUUAGUCCCAUUCUAAAUAUUCUUGGGAUGGUAAAAUGCUUCGAAGGAAAGGAAAGGUAGUGGUAGGUAAUGAUCCUAAUCUCAAAAAAGAGUCAUUCGAUUACUUUCACAGUGGCCUUACUAGGGGACAUUCGGGUGUACAUGCUACGAGGCACCGAUUAUCAAGGUUAGUUUACUGGGAAGGCUUAUCCAAGGAUGUAAAGAUGUGGAUUAGGGAAUGCUCUACUUGCCAAAAAUGUAAGGGUAAUCUAUUUGCUUCUCCAGGACUUCUACAACCCCUUCCCAUACCAUAUCGAGCUUCGGAGGCCAUUAGCAUGGAUUUUGUGGAAGGUCAUCCAAAGUCCCAAGGCAAGAAUGUGAUCCUUGUAGUGGUAGAUCGAUUAACCAAAUACUAGCACUUUUUGGCUUUUUCUCAUCCCUUCACAGCACUGACUGUUGCUCAAGAUUAUAUGAGGCAUAUUUACAAGCUACAUGGAGCCCCCAAGUCCAUAGUAUCCGAUUGUGACAAGAUUUUUGUUAGCACUUUUUGGCAAGAGUUAUUCAAACAGUUGGGUACUAGGGUGCAUUUUUCCACUACUUACAACCCACAAACGGUUGAGCAGACUGAUGUCUUGAACCAUUAUCUAGAAGGAUAUCUGCAACGCAUGACAGGUGAAUGCCCUAAGGAAUGUUUGUUCUAGUUACCCUUAGCAGAAUGGUGGUACAAUACCACCUACCAUUCGACUAUUCAAACCACGCCAUACGAGGCGCUAUAUGGCCAGAGCCCUCCACUGCAUCUUCCCUACCUUUGGAUCCUCACUAAUAGCGACAGUUGAUCGAAGUCUUCAACACUGUGAGAACGCUAAAGCUGUUGCAAUUUCAUUUCAAGAGGUCACAAGAGAGGAUGAAACCGAUAGCCGAUUAGAUAGGGCACUACCCAAAGAGCCUGUAAGAAAUCUAGAUCAGCAAAUGGUGAAAUAGGGGAAUCACGUUGCUACUGAAAUGCUUGUCGGAUGGGCUAAUACUUUUGUAGAAGAUUCUACAUGGGAGAACUUGUAGAAGGUCCAAAGGAAAUUUCUAGGUUUCGAUCCUUGAGGAAAAUGAUCUAAUUCAAGCAGGGAGUAAUUGUUAUGGAACGAGAAGAAAAGUCAACACUGGUUUACCACUUUUAAAAUUAUGUUAAUUUCUGUUUAUGCAAUUUUAAAUUUGUAAUCAUGCUUUUCAAUGUAUUUAAAUAAAACGGGGCGUUCCAACUAGGUGGAGAAGGCUAUGGUGCAAAAUGGUGCGUUUUGCAACCUAUAAGACAAUUUAAUGAAACGGGUUGUAUUAUCUGGAUGGCACAGCUGUCAUGAGUCUGUUAAUUUUUCUAUUUAGCCACCAGCCAAAUGACAGAAACAGUUAUGAAAUUGCAUGACAAGUUUUCUCAAAUCUUCUCUUUCUUCUCUCGUGCUCUUUCUUCCUCUUUCUUUCUCCUAUUUUCUCCACCGAACUCUUCUCCAUUUCUGUUUCGUACCAUUUUCUAAAUUGAUCCUUGGAUGGCUUCUUGUUGGGAGCUUUUGUUUAUUUUUAAAUGAAAAGCUAAGUAACAUUGGUUAAUUUGCGUUGGGGCUGGACUUUGGUCGAUUUGGUUGGCUCGUAACGAGUUGAUCUUUAGGGGAAAAUUGUUGCCAUUGGGUGAACAUUUGCUUUUGACAAAGCUUCACUUCCUUUCUAGAUUAAAGUUGCAUUUAUUGGGAGAUUGUUGGUGGAAUAACACUCUGGAGUGUUGUUUUUAUUCAUUCACAACUCGAAUCUUUGGCUACCUCUUGCAAUUGGUUUUGUAAAGUUUAACAUGAAUGGCUCCUCUAGAGGCUGUCUCAGAAAGACUGAAAUUGGAGGAGUACCUGGGGACAAGAAUGGAUGUGUUCUAGCCUUGUGUUUGGGUCCGAUGGGUGAGGGAUACGCUGCAAACGCUAAAUUGUUGGCCAUUGAGAAUGGUUUGGAGAUCUUUGCAAAUUCUGGUUGGGUUGGGUGUAAACACCUUGUCAUUGAGUCGGAUCCCAUGCUUUCUAUUUCUUGGUGCUCAAACCCGAGUAUUCAACCAUGGAAUUUUGCGAAAGUAUUUAAACAUGUGGACACUCUGGUGAAUAUUGGAUCUAUCAAUUUUAUGUAUGUUUCUAGGGGGACUAAUAGCUGGGCAGAUGAGUUGGCUAAAUAAGAUGUUGAUACGAGUUCAUUGUUUUUAUGUAACUAUUGUGUUGUACGGUUUGACCAUUUCAGUUAUCUAAUAUAGUUGAUUGAGCUAAAAUAAUAAUCAUCAUCCAAGUUUUUAGACUGUUCUGUUUUGUUUACCAAAUUCUCUUUGUUAUUUUAUUCACUUUUUGUAGUCACUCAUAGUUAAAAAGUCUGUGGUCACCGGAGAAAAUGUGUACAUUCAAUAUUUACACGUUUGUUAAUUUAAUCUUUAUUUUUAAAAAGAAGUAACAAAUUAACCCUCGGCAUUUAUACAAUUUAUUGAUUUUGCCUUAGUUAUAAAAAUUUAACAAAAUAUAAAUGAAAAAAAAGUUUUUUAAAAAUCAGCUUUUCUAAAAAGAUAUAAAAUAUUUAAUAUAUAUAAAAUAUUCAAAAAUUUAUAAAAUUUACUUAAAUUUGUUAAAAAAUAUUAUAUUAUUAAAACUAUAUAAUGCCAUUAAAAUUUAAGAGAUAUUAAAAAUAUAUAUAAUGUGAAUUUGAUCUUGACUACCUUAAGUUUUAUUUCGUGGAAUUAAAGAUUUGUCUUGUAUAAAAAACUGAUAGACGAAAGACUCCUUAAAUAAACGCAAAGGAAAAGUCAGAUUGAAUGGUGGAAACUCCCAACAAUUUGGAGCCCCACAUUGACAAUUCUUGUUUAAAUUAUUAACAUCUAAACAACGUUACCUGCAGUGAUUUGAGUCAGAAUUUUUUUUUUUUGUUUGGGAUCAAAAUUAAAUUAUAUAUUUUUACGACUAUAAAAGUGUAAUUUCACAAUUUUUAUAGUCUAUAUUUUUAUAAAUUUUAAUUGAUUAUAUCAAAUUUUAAUUAAUUUUGAAUGGAUCAAAAUAUAAUUUUACUAUUAUUAAUUCAAAAUUUUAUAAUGAUAGGCGUGCCCUGCUGCCACGCCUGGCUCCCUCACUUGCGAAGUCAAUACGCCAUCUUCGAGCAAUUAAGAAUAGGAAAGUCUAUGCCCAUGGAAUAUUAGAGAUGGAAUUUUCUUCAUAAAAUGCAAACACGUAAUUUUAGAAACCUUGGAAGUUUAUCAAAUUUUAUUCCUGAUUUGGUCUUUCAUUCAAAACAAUAGUAGAAUAUAAUAUACUAAUAAAAAUAAAUGUGAAUUAGGUUAUUAGAGAUUGAUCUUGAUUCAUUCUCCAUAAUUUAAAGAAUUUAAUUGCUUGAUUUAAAUAAAUCCAAACAUUAAGGAAAAUUGUUUAAAAGGAUUGAAACACAAUCACUUCAAUUUGUUGGCUAAAUAAUAAUAAGACGGUAAUUACUAGUACUUUUAGUCAUCGUGAAUAAGAUAUUCUCUACUCACCAUAACGAAUCUAUUUAAUAGCUAACAUACCUUUUUAUUAUUAUUUCAAUUUAGGCAUAAUACCAAAUUAAUCAUUAGGUUUAUAUAUUUUCUAAAAUUGGUCCUUUUUUAAUUAAGUUUAUCAGUAAUUUUUCAGAAAGAGUCAAACCACUUUUUAAAACAAAAAUGCUUAUUAAAACAUUAAUUUUUUUAACGAUUGGUUACUCGUGUGGCAGCCUUGGUGUAUUUCAUGUUAACAUGAUAUUAUUUGUCUUAUAUAGCAUGUCAUCAAAUAAUUUAAAAAUUAUAAAAAAUGUUAAAAAUAAAAUAUUCAAAAUUCAAAAAAAAUUAUAAAAAGUUCAUAAAAAUUCAAAACAAUUAGCAUAAGUACAUGUCGAUUACUACAUGUGUAACCAUGUUUAAAAAUUAAUAAUUUAGUCAGCAUUUCCAUUAAAACAUAAUAACUAGUUUUGAAAGGUUGAUGGUAAAAGAAACCUAAGAGUCAAAUUAACAAAAGAUUAAAAAUUAAGGACUAAAUUUGACAUUAUAUAUUUAAUUUAUAAUCUUUUAAUUUUUUGAUGAUGUGGGGUAGGGGUUGUUUGGGAUUAAACCGAAGCUCUUAUACCUAGAACCUAAUACUUUUGUCACUAGGCUAAGAAGUUGCUGAUAAUUUAUAAUAUUUUAUUAAAAUAUAUUAAACUUUAAAUUUGUUCUAUCAUUCAUUUGAAGAGAGAUGCUUAAUUUUAAAGCAAUAAUUGAUAUAUAUUUUUCUAAUAUAUUAAAUUAAAAAUUUUUAAAAAUGUAUCUUUUAUACUUUUUUAAUAAUUUUUUAAAUAAUCAGUUAAGUGCUUAUGUGACGUUUACGUGUAUGUCAUGUUAGCAAAGUUAACAAAAGUUAACUUUUUCGUCCAUUUUCGGGUGAUUUGAUAAAUAAUACAAAUUUAAGGGUUAAAAGUGAUGAAUAUUUUUUAAAAAAAAUGUUUAAAAUAACUUUUUUGUAAAGUUGAAAUACUACAUAAAUCAUUAUGUUUUCAAGGAUAGAAUUGAAGAAUUAAUUUUAAAAAUUUUUGAAAGGCAUAUUUAUAAAUAUAGAUAUAAAUAAAGAACGUUGGGAGCAAAGCAAUAGCAAACAACUUCGUACCAUUUGGAGGAGGGAAUAGGGCAUGUGGUGGAGCAGGCUUUGAAAGGUGGAUAAAGAGUAGAGUCUUUAUUUGUCAUCCACUAAAUAACAAAUGAAAUUAAUGAUGAAGAAAACAUUGAACUUGAACCAACGACUUCCCAUUGUUUUUUCUUCAUCCAAAGUCAACAAAUUUGUUUUUGUUUUCAAAUUCUCAAAUCUGUGUUUCUGGUCGUUUCCACUAUUUGUUUUUCAGUUUUCACAUUUUCUUGUAUUGUCUCAAUUAAGGGGGAAACGUUUAUUUUAUUUCUGAAAAGCAAACUUUCUUCUUCCCUUGAUUUCCACUUGGCAAAAGAAACAGCGCAGAGGAUAGUUCAGUGAAGGUAAGUUUUGAGGAACUGCUCCUCAUGAAACUUCAUCUUCCUUGCUAUAUAUUUUCAUCUUUUUGUUGAAUGCCAUUUAGUUUGUGUUGGUGUUUUCAUAUUAUUGGCCUUUUCACAAUUUUCUAUUACGUGCACUAAAUCAACUCUUUUGAUCUUUUACAGCUCUAUUUACUUUCUGGUAUUCAAGGGUGAUCACAGAGACGUAAGUUCAAGAAUAAUUUCUAGCUUCUUAAAAAAUCAUCUUUUUCUACGCAAAUAUAAUAAUCUCUUUGGUUUUGAACAAUAAUUACAGCUUCUUAAUUGGUAGCUUCCAUUCUCUUUGGUUUAGAAAGACUGAUUUAAAAGCAAGUAAUUUGCAAAUCAAAUCCAUUGAUGAUUCCUACUUCUGUUAGUUAGCAAGCAUUCACAAUUGCUUUCAUUUGUCUUUAUGUUAAUCUUCUUACUAACAACAAAAGUUUUUGUUCAACCUCAUCAGACUAUCAACAAAAAUGGCCGAAUAUGUUGCCUCUACUGCUGUUGAAAGUGUGAAAAAACCAGGCAAAGGAAUACGCAUCACCUUAUCUCCGUUACUUUUCUGUUAUGGAGAGAUUGUUGAAGAUUUCAAGAAUCAAAGAAAGGAACUUAAAUUGAGGAAACAGAGGGUGAAAACUCGUGUCGAUGAGGCUAAAAGGCAAAUUAAGGUCAUCUAUGAAGACGUCGAGGACUGGCUUAGAAGGCUGAGAAAGAACUGGAAGAAACCCAGAACUUCGAAGAGGAAAUAGAUGGCGUCAAGCGUUUCAAAUGGUGUCCUCAAUGGAGCUGGCGAUAUUGCUUAAGUAAGAAACUGGCAGAGAAGACUCUUAUUAUUUCUAAACUAUUAGAAACUUCUAAUUUUCCACAGGUGGGGUAUCGUGGUCCUCUUCAAGGAAUAGAGUUCAUCACAUCCACCGAUUUCAUGGACUCUGAAUCUUCAAAAUCAGCUUUGAACCAGAUCAUGGAGGCUAUAAAUUCUGUCAACAUGAUCGGACUGCACGGAAUGCCAGGAGUUGGUAAAACUACUUUAGCCAAAGAAGUUGGGAAGCAUGCUCGAGAACAAAAGCUCUUGAUAAAGUUGUGAUGUUUACUAUGUCCCAAAAUCCAAACAUCAAGAAAAUUCAAGAGAAAGUUGCAGAUAGUUUUGGUUUAAAUUUUGAAACAAGUAGCCAAGAAGGAAAAGCAGAAGAGCUAUUCAGGUGUAUGCAAGGCGUUGAAAAAAAUCUUCGUAAUUGUCGAUGACCUCUGGGAAGAAUUCAAAUUGGAGAGCAUCGGAAUUCCAUUCGGUCAUGAACACAAGGGUUGUAAAAUUCUUCUGACUACACGUCAUCAACAAGUCUGCACUAAAAUGAACUGUCAGAAGGAAAUUCAACUUGGCAUCUUAUCCGAAGACGAAGCAUGGGUUUUACUUCGAGAUAAAGCUGGUUUAGAAGAGACGACUGUUCACCUUGACUCAUGUAGCCAAAGAGGUUGCUGGUGAAUGUAAGGGAUUGCCCCUUGCAAUUGUUACCGUGGCAAAAGCUCUAAAAGGUGAGAGUUUAGAUGGGUGGAGAGCCGUGAAUCAGAGAUUCAAGGACUCAAGGCAUUUGGAUAAUGAAGAAGUUCUCGGAGGUGUCCUCAAGCCUCUCAAGCUUAGCUACGAUUAUUUGAAAGAAGGCAAUAGCCAAAUGACGGGUAAUGACAUCCAAAUGUGUUUCUUACUGUGUUCCCUUUUUCCUGAAGAUGCUGAAAUCAUUAGUGACGUAUUGAUUAUGUGCGGAAUUGGAGUAGGAUUGUUCCCUAAUGCUUUCUCGAUUGAAGAUAAAAGGAAUGAAAAAUUGGCAUGCUGAAAUCAUUAGUGACGUAUUGAUUAUGUGCGGAAUUGGAGUAGGAUUGUUCCCUAAUGCUUUCUCGAUUGAAGAUAAAAGAAUGAAAUUGGCAUGGCACUAAAAAAACUCCAAAAAUCUGGCUUGUUAUUGGAAACUGAUGUGCAGAAACGAUAAGAAUGCAUGAUGUGAUUCGAGAUUUUGCUCAUUGGCUAACAUCAACCGGAGAAAUAGGUUCAUGGUAAAAAGAUAAGUUGAAAGAAUGGCCUCAUAUGGUUGGAUGUUAUACUGCAAUCGCUUUAUGGAAUUGUAGUAGUAACAUAAAAAAUUUCCCUGAUAAAGUGGAGUUUUCAAAGCUCAAGACUUUGUUUCUUAAGGGGGAGCGGGGGAUGAUUUACUUGUGGUUCCCAAUACAUUUUUUGAAGAAAUGAAAGCCCUCCAAGUUCUACUCCUCGAAAAUGUCUUUCCACUGAAAGGAUUCCAUUCCUUGCCAAAUCUUAAAACUUUGUGCUGUAUUAGAUGCAAGCUGGAAAACUUCUCAUCAUCACUGACAAAUAUGAGAAGCCUUGAGAUUCUUGCAUUGUUUGAGACUAAGUUUGAUGAGAUAAGUGAAGAAUUAGUGAAAUUGUCUGCACUGAAAUUAUUAUUUGUUGAAGUUGAAGAGGAAGAAGAAAUCAAUUCCCCCCCCAACCUGCUAUCAAGGUAAUAGUGCAUCAGAUUUAAUUUCUUUUUUAUCAUAUUUCUAUUAAUUACUUUAAUAGAUAUUUCAAAUAGUCAAUGCAAUAAAUUUUAAAAAAUAAAUUAAUUUGAAAAAUUAACUCUUAAUAUUAUUUAUCAAUUUAGCACUUAUUUUUUUUAGUUCAAUUUGAUUCUGAGCCUUUUAAAAAUUUUUAAAUUUGAGCAUCAACAUUUUAAGAAGUGUUGAAUUAUUUUUUUGACGGAAAUAUUAAUUAAAAUGUUAAAAUUUUAAACAUGGAAGCCAGCAUGGCAAUCCAUGUAUACUUCAUGCUAUUUUUUUAUAUUUUUUGAAUUUUAAAUUUUUUAUUUUUUAAAUAUUUUUAUAAAUUUUAAAUUAUUUGUUGACUUGAUAUAUAAGAUAAAAGUGUAAUGUCAGCAAAAAAUAUAUGUGGACUAUGAUUAAGUUAUAUAUUAAAGUAGAUAUAAAAAAUAAAUAUGACAUAUUCAAUAAAAAGUUAAUUAAGUUUAAUACAAUAUUACUGGUAAUUAAAAUAAAUAAUAUUUUUAAUAAAAUAUAAAGAUAAAAUAGUUGAUUUGUUGACAAUUAGUUAUAUUUUAAAAUAUAUGUGUUAUGAAUAAUUUGUAAUUUCACUUUAAUAAUGACUUCAGUUUUAGUAAUUAUCUGAUUUUAUGUUGUCAAAAUUAUUUUUGCAUUUACUUUUUUUUCAAAAUUAUAAAAAUGUUUUCUUUUAAACAUAAAAAAUUGACCCAAUCUGUAUUGCGUCACACAACUGACAAUUAAUGUUUUUUUUUUUAUGAAUAUAAUAGGUUGACUUCACUGGAAGAGUUACAUGUGAGAAGGCAAAAGCAAUAUCAACUUAUUGGAGCUGAAUUCGUUGUCUCGUUUAACUGCAGUAUCACUAAGACUUUCUACUAAUCAUUUUUCUCAAGAAUAUUUUUGUGCUCCCUAAACUACAAAGGUAUGCUCUAAGUUGUAACUGACUAUAUUAGAUAUUUAGAGUCACUAACCUUUAGAGCAUUGACAAUUAAAAACUUCUCAUCCUCAUUGAGUGCAUUUAACCAUUUAUUUUGCCAAUGUGGAAAAGUUGAAGUUGGGGAAUGUUAGUGGACAGAAGAACAUUGUGCCAAGCAUAGGUAAAAUGGAGUAAAUGAGUUGACUUCUUUGGAGCUUGAAUCUUGCAAGGAUAUGGAAUUCUUGACUGAUAUAACAAGAGAUCAAGGGCCAACUGUUGCAUUCUCUAAUUUGGUGGAAUUAAAUGUAGCAAACAUGGUUUCUUUGAAAGGGUUGUGCUAUGGUCUUUUCUCCGACUAGGUUUCUUGCAAAAUCUUAAGCAAGUGAUCAUUAGAGAUUGUAAAGAGUUACAAGUGAUAUUUCAAAUGGAUAAACUUUCAGAAAAAGUGAAAUGUCAGAUGCCAUUGCUCUCAAAUUUAACAAUAUUGGAACUAUAUUCAUUGCCGAAUUGGAGAGCAUAUGGAAAUUAGAGCCAUCACAUCAUGCAACUGCCAGCCUCGCAGAUUAAAGGUUGUAAAAUUGGGGACUGUGAUAAACUAAAAACAAUCUUCUCACCUUGCCUAGCUCUAAGUAUGCUGCAUCUAGAAGAACUCGAUGUAACUUGGUGCCAUGGAUUAGAGCAAGUAAUUUUUUUUGUCCAAGAAGAAGAGAUUAUUGAGGUAGGGAUACCUAUUCUCUCCAAUUUUGUUAAUCUUCUUAAUUGUUUUAGCUUUUUUAUAGCAUUUUUCAGGGAUGAGACAAAUUGAAAGAAAACCUUUGUGAGUUUAGAUUGGUUUUGAUUCUUUUAUUAUUUGUGUGCAUCUGGUUUGUUGGAAGCAUUGUGGCCACUAAAGAAAUUAACUUUUAUUACUAAAAAGAAAUACACCAAUGCAAAAUACAAAUAUGUUUUCUUCUCCCUCUCAAUUACUACCUACAACUAGUUAUACACUCACAAUUCAGUCUCUUAUUUCCACUCAUGCACACAAAGUCACACACCUUUGUUUUGUUUCAUACUCUUUCUUUUUCUUCUCUUUCACACGCUUGCUUUUACAUCACAUAUAUAAAACCUAUUUAUAGGCUUAUAAAAUGCAUCAUGAAUUAUUGUCUCUCAUUUUUAUUUAGAUUUUAUCUAUUUAUAGAAAGCCCUUUACUUAAUUCCAUGUCACUUUAUCUACCUUUAGAUUGCUAACUUACAAGGUCAGUUUGAUAGUUGAAAAAACUCACAUUUUAGUGUCAAAGGAAGUAUUCAUUCCCUAGAGCACUAAAUCGAUAUAGAGACCUUUUCCAUAUUUAUUAUAUUGGCAACUUAUUGAAUGACUUUUAUGGGGUAUGAUGAGUCUAUGAUUGAUAUCUAGACCAUUAUAGAAGAUCAUAUCACUUAGAGAUUAUCUUUUGGAGAUUGGAUUGAUUUGAAAUUGCCCAAGACAAUCCCUUGGAUCAUGGAUUUUGAUUUGGUUUGUGAUUCUAUCUAUGGUUGAAUCAUGUUUGUCAUCUCCUUGUGAUGAGGACACCAAUGUAACUUGGAUACCACUUAUUGGAAGUGUAGUUGACUAAGGAAAUUAACUUUUAUUACUCAAAACAAAUACACUUACACAAAAUACAAAUAUAUUUUCCCCACUCUCAAUUUCUAGUUACCACUAGUUAUACACUCACAAUUCACUCUUUGCAUAUUUCCACUCUUGUGCACACAAACUCACACACAUUUCUUUCAUUUCUUACUCUUUCUUUUUCUUCAUAUCACAAAUAUGAAACCUUAUUAUAGGCUCAAAAACCACCUCAUCAAUUGCCACCUCUCUCAUUUUAUGUUUAUUUUAUUUAUUAUGGAUAAGCCUUCAAUUAAUUCCAUGCCACCUUGACUUUUGCCCAUGGAUUGCCCACUUAUAAGGUUUGUUUGACUUCAACACAAUUUACAUGAUAGAAGAAUGUAAUUAUUUAUAUAGUAGGAAAUUCUAUCUUUUAUUAAUUAUAAUAAUGCUUUAAUAUUUUAUAAUUUAAAAUAAGUAUUAUAUUGCAGACAUGAAUACUUGAAAAUUUCAAACAAUUUCAUUCUCCAUUCCUAAUUAUAAAAAAUAAAUUCAAUUUUAUUUAUAUCGAUUGUGUGUUUUAUAAACAACUGUGAAGCCCCUAGUUUGUUUGAGUUAGCUUGUUGCUUUUUUGGGUAGACACCCUGUGCAUCUAACCAUUGGUAUGCUAAAAGAAACUAAGCAGCAUAUACAUGUUUUUAUAUUUUAUCUUUUAAUUAAUAAUCUAUGAUAUGCUCAAUUUUUUUAUAAUAAAAUAAAUAACUUACUAAGAUGUGUGUUUGAAACAUGUAGAAUGACUCUCCUCUUUUGUUUGGCCGAAAUUGAGGAUUCUUCGCAUAGAAUUUUGCCCAAAUUUGAAAUAUGUUUGUGCAAACACUUGGACUCAAGGGCUUCAAUCCUUGGAAUCUGUUUACAUAAGAGAUUGUUCUCAACUUAUACAAGUCUUCAACAUGGAACAAAAUAAGCAUGGACAAGAUAUUGUGCUUCCUGAACUUGGAUCACAGGUACUUCUGUAUUUACAUUUUUAAGGCUGAGCAAAGAGUUGAAAAAAUUGAAAUUAAUUUGAAUUGUAGUGUUCAAUUCAAUUUUUUGUUGAAUUACAACUAUUUAAAAAUAUAAAAAGUUAUAACUUAAAAAUUAAAUUACAACUAUAUGUUUUAAAAUUAGUAUAUCAAAUUAAUUUAUAAAUUUAUUAUCAAAUACUAAUAUACUAUAAUAUUCAUAUUUUAAAUAAUUCAUGUAUAAUUAUAAAUAGUAAAAAAAUAGAGAAAUAUUAUAUAUUUAUUUUCUAUUGACGUUAAGCUUUAAUAUUUAUUUAUAUUUUAUAUUUAUUUAAUAUAAUAAUAAUUAUUUAAAUUAUAUUUUAGAAAAUUAUUAAAUUAAUUUACCAUAAUAUGAUUGUUUUUGCAAGGCUACCAUAUUUUAAUUUGAUAAUUUAUGUGAGAUAUUAAUACAGUGUUUGUAUAAAUAUAUAUUAAUAUAAUUGUAGAAUGAAUUUAUUUGAGUAGUGGUUAGUUCUACCUAAUAAAUAUUAUUUGAUGACAAGAAUUUUGAUAAAUUUAACUAAUAAAUAUUGAUAUCAUUGUCGGAAUUGAGGUGCAUAUGAAAUGGAUCGAAUCAUUGCGUUAACCUCUAUAGUCUGAAGACUAUUAAAAUAACUUAUCAAAGUCUAUUUUUAGAUAUUAAUAUUUUUCAAAAUUUCGGGUUGGACUAAAAAAAUUGUAUUCAUAAUUCUUUGAUUUUAAAGUUGAACGAGUAUCAGAGUUCAAUCUCUCUCAUCGACUAUUACAAUGAAUAUUGUUUUUUUUUAUUUUUUUAUUGUCAUGAUUAAUGAUUUUGAAGUGGUUGGGGUAUCACAGUUCCAAAAUAAAUAAAUACAUCUCUUUAUAAUUGGUACAUUCAAAAUCAAUUUAUAUCUUUUUCAUAUGUUGGUAAAGAAAUUCUUUAAAACUUAAACUAUGUUUAAUAAAUCAUAUUCCUCACUUUUAUUUAAACAAAUAUAUUUGGUAAAUAUCUAAAUAUGUGGUUCAUUCAUGAAGAAUCAUUGCCGGACAAAAUUGAAACUCUCCGGAUAGUAGAUUGCCAACGAUUGAAAUAUGUGUUUGCAAACACUUUCUCAGGGAUUUCCAUUGUUGGAAUCUGUUUACCUAGAGAACUGCCUCAACUACUACAAGUCUUCAGUUCGACAGAAGAAAGGGAUGUGAUUGGUGAUCACAUUCUACUUAAUGUGCCCUUUCUGCAAGAUUUAGUAGUGUCAAAUUGUCCCCAAAUCUCAUGCUUCAUUGUACAAGCUCAGCUCAUAGAGGUAUUUAGAUUGUUUGCAUUUUAUAUAUGGAUUUUGGCACUAUAGCAAAUCAGUAAAUCGAUAUGUUGCUUAGUUCAUGUGAUAAUUCAUUCCUCUUUUAUACAUAGUUUGUAAAUGAAUUCCAUUGUUCACUCUUUAAAUAAAAAUGUAUCAAGCAAUGGCCUUUUGAAUUUGGUAGAUAUUUUAGGGGUUUAGAUUUAAAAAUAUAUCCUUUAAAAAAUCAAAGAUACAUGUAGCAUUGAGAUUAGAGAAGUAGUAUUUUUAUUACUUGGAAUAUGUAAAAUUAUAGAGACUUAUGGGUAACAUUUACUCUAGUGUGUUUUUAUGACAUUUAUUAGGAUUUCUGUGUAUGCAGGAAUUGGUUCUUAGUAACAUGGGAAAUAGCUGCCAAUUAUGCAACACUGAUGUUCCUGUAGUGAAUGAAGUUGUAUAGUAGUUGGGAAUCAUGAAGAAGUAUUUCAAGUUCAAGGCGGGUGCUCGUUCUCAAGCAUAAAAAAUUGAAAUUGAGGAAUUUAUUAGAAGUGCGGGUUACAUGGAACGAUUUCGCUGAAGUUGUAACCCUUGAGAACCUUACAACUCUAACACUGAGUGGUUGCAAAAAGCUAAGAUAUAUUUUCACCUAUGAUGGCUCGCAGUUUAUCACAUUUGGAGAAUCUUUUCAUCGAGGGGUGUGAGGAAAUAGAAUGACUCAUUUUAGCCAAGGAUCAAGUUUCUUCUUCAUCAUCAAAUGGCGAUACUAGCCUCCAACCUAUGAGCUUUUCAAAUUUGAAACGGAUAGUUGUUACAAAUUGUAAGAAUUUGAACAGUCUCUUUCCUUUUGGAUUUGUUCCUGUUCUUCCAAAGCUUGAAAAUCUCAUAGUUAAAAGGAAUUCUAAAUUGGAACAAGUAUUCGAAUUAGAAGAAAAAGUGGAAGUGGUAGCUGAAGAGGAGAUGAAAUUUGAUAAACUAAAAUGGUUAUCACUUGAAGAACUACCUGACCUCAUUCACUUUUGUCCCAAAGGAUAUCAUUCUGUAUUCCCAGCAAUGAUAGAGUUGAAAGUAAGAGAUUGCCCUAAGUUGACUACUGGUUUCUUCAUUGAUUCACAGGAAUUUGUACAUUGCAAAACAAAGGUAUAUAUCCUACAACCCUUU
Molecule: long non-coding RNA, 37178 nt
Filed under: Gossypium barbadense (sea-island cotton)
Lineage: Eukaryota; Viridiplantae; Streptophyta; Magnoliopsida; Malvales; Malvaceae
Description: long non-coding RNA (GBAR_LNC022929)
Source: RNAcentral